This 597-nucleotide ribosomal RNA is filed under the name uncultured bacterium. RNAcentral describes it as "bacterial SSU rRNA". It matches the Rfam family "Bacterial small subunit ribosomal RNA", at positions 788 to 1386 of the family's 1533-position model. The record is from RNAcentral.
UGGUAGUNCACGCCCUAAACGAUGUCGAUUAGCUGUUGGGGCACUUGAUGCCUUAGUAGCGUAGCUAACGCGUGAAAUCGACCGCCUGGGGAGUACGGUCGCAAGAUUAAAACUCAAAGGAAUUGACGGGGACCCGCACAAGCGGUGGAUGAUGUGGAUUAAUUCGAUGCAACGCGAAGAACCUUACCUGGUCUUGACAUGUACGGAACCUUCCAGAGACGGAAGGGUGCCUUCGGGAGCCGUAACACAGGUGCUGCAUGGCUGUCGUCAGCUCGUGUCGUGAGAUGUUGGGUUAAGUCCCGCAACGAGCGCAACCCUUGUCAUUAGUUGCCAUCAUUCAGUUGGGCACUCUAAUGAGACUGCCGGUGACAAACCGGAGGAAGGUGGGGACGACGUCAAGUCCUCAUGGCCCUUAUGACCAGGGCUUCACACGUCAUACAAUGGUCGGUACAGAGGGUAGCCAAGCCGCGAGGCGGAGCCAAUCCCAGAAAACCGAUCGUAGUCCGGAUUGCACUCUGCAACUCGAGNGCAUGAAGUCGGAAUCGCUAGUAAUCGCAGGUCAGCAUACUGCGGUGAAUACGUUCCCGGGUCUUGUNC